GAUGAACGCUAGCUACAGGCUUAACACAUGCAAGUCGAGGGGAAACGACAUCAAAAGCUUGCUUUUGAUGGGCGUCAACCGGCGCACGGGUGAGUAACGCGUAUCCAACCUGCCCACCACUUGGGGAAACCUUGCAAAAUAAAAAUAAAUACCCAAUGAUAUCUCUAGAAAACAUCUGAAAAAGAUUAAAGAUUUAUCGGUGAUGGAUGGGGAUGCGUCUGAUUAGCUUGUUGGCGGGGUAACGGCCCACCAGGGGCAACAAUCAUAAGGUUCCUGAGAGGAAGGCCCCCCACUUGGAACUGAAACCCGGUCCAACCCCCUACGGGAGGAGCGNCAUUGAGGAAUAUUGGUCAAUGGACAAGAGUCUGAACCAGCCAAGUAGCGUGCAGGAAGACGGCCCUAUGGGUUGUAAACUGCUUUUAUAAGGAAAUAAAGUUAGUCUCGUGAGACUUUUUGCAUGUACCUUAUGAAUAAGGACCGGCUAAUUCCGUG
This 492-nucleotide ribosomal RNA is filed under the name uncultured bacterium. RNAcentral describes it as "bacterial SSU rRNA". It matches the Rfam family "Bacterial small subunit ribosomal RNA", at positions 28 to 507 of the family's 1533-position model. The record is from RNAcentral.